This 423-nucleotide ribosomal RNA is filed under the name uncultured bacterium. RNAcentral describes it as "partial 16S ribosomal RNA". It matches the Rfam family "Bacterial small subunit ribosomal RNA", at positions 359 to 774 of the family's 1533-position model. The record is from RNAcentral.
GAAUUUUGGACAAUGGGCGAAAGCCUGAUCCAGCAAUGCCGCGUGCAGGAUGAAGGCCUUCGGGUUGUAAACUGCUUUUGUACGGAACGAAAAGCUUUGGGUUAAUACCCUGGAGUCAUGACGGUACCGUAAGAAUACGCACAGGCUAACUACGUGCAAGCAGCCGCGGUAAGACGGAGGGUGCAAGCGUUAACUGGAAUAACUGUGCGUAAAGCGUGCGCAGGCGGUUUUGUAAGACAGAGGUGAAAUCCCCGGGCUCAACCUGGGAACUACCUUUGUGACUGCAAGGCUAGAGUACGGCAGAUGGGGGUGGAAUUCCGCGUGUAGCAGUGAAAUGCGUAGAUAUGCGGAGGAACACCGAUGGCGAAGGCAACCCCCUGGGCCUGUACUGACGCUCAUGCACGAAAGCGUGGGGAGCAAACA